This 558-nucleotide long non-coding RNA is filed under the name Rhinopithecus bieti (black snub-nosed monkey). RNAcentral describes it as "lncRNA (ENSRBIG00000045262.1)". The record is from RNAcentral. Lineage: Eukaryota; Metazoa; Chordata; Mammalia; Primates; Cercopithecidae.
UGGACAUGCAACGAAAUAACUAGCAAAGAGACCUUGUUUCAACAUCAAAUAUGUUUCCGUAGGGCCAGAUUCUUGGGCAAAGUUGUUUUAGCGAUCUGGUUGCAACUAAGUAUUGGAGUUGUUGUGCCUUGAAACUAGAAACUGCCUUGAAUUUCUACAUAGGGAAAUGUAAUCUAUUGCUUUCUUACAGGUUCUUUAUUGGAGGAUGACCCAGCUGGCAUGUGUAUCAUUCUACUCUGUGUCCUGCUCCUUCUUCCUGCUUGGAAUGUGGACGUGUCUACAGCUAUAGCAUCACUGCUGCCUUCAUAUCUGGUAUGAGACAGAGUUUAUCAUUCCUACAGGCCACCGAAGGAAGUCAGUGCCUAGGAUUCUGAGAUGCAGCCACACCAUAAAGUUUCAUUACUCAGUUGCAGUAGAGAAAGCCUCAAAGGAACCACUUCUAAUGGAAACUGCCUCAUUUCCUGGUCAAGUCUCACAGCGGAGGUGCUCUGAAGUAGGUGCUCUGAAGUGCUCUGAAGUGAAAAGUUCACUUCAUGAGAAGUUACAAACUAAUUGUAA